AUUCCAGCUCCAAUAGCGUAUAUUAAAGUUGUUGCAGUUAAAAAGCUCGUAGUUGAAUUUCUGGUGGGAGUGUACAGUCCGACACUGAGUGUUGGUUCUUGUGUGUCUCCGGCCAUCCUUGGAGUGAAUCUGUCUGGCAUUUAGUUGUUGGGCAGAGUAUCUCCAUCGUUUACUGUGAGGAAAGGAAAGUGUUCAAAGCAGGCUUACGCCGUUGAAUCUUUUAGCAUGGAAUAAUAAUCUAGGACUUUGGUUCUAUUUUGUUGGUUUCUAGAACUGGAGUAAUGAUUGAUAGGGAUAGUUGGGGGUGCUAGUAUUCAGCGGCCAGAGGUGAAAUUCUUGGAUUCGCUGAGGACUAACUUAUGCGAAAGCAUUCACCAAGGAUGUCUUCAUCA
This 392-nucleotide ribosomal RNA is filed under the name Eucampia sp. RNAcentral describes it as "partial small subunit ribosomal RNA". It matches the Rfam family "Eukaryotic small subunit ribosomal RNA", at positions 582 to 975 of the family's 1831-position model. The record is from RNAcentral. Lineage: Eukaryota; Bacillariophyta; Thalassiosirophyceae; Eucampiales; Eucampiaceae.